Molecule: long non-coding RNA, 357 nt
Filed under: Homo sapiens (human)
Lineage: Eukaryota; Metazoa; Chordata; Mammalia; Primates; Hominidae
Description: HSALNT0343940
Source: RNAcentral
AGGUCUCUGGAAAAAUUGUAGAGAAAUUAUCAGUCCUUCACCUGACUUUAAAGGACCCUUCAGUUUGUAGAAGGGGCUCAGAAAAAGAGCUGAUGCAGGUCUUGGCACUGUGCCAGUCAUAGAUGAAGGGACAAAAACAACCUAAGAGGCCAGGAAGUUUAUUCCUAUGAAAUGUUGCUUCUCCAAAGGCCAUCUCAACUCGAUUACACAUUUUCCAAAUAAAAUCUCUUAUAUAAAAGCUUUUCUUGGGGUUUAUCUUUCUCGAAAGUGAUAUAACUUCAGAUAGAAGCUGAUUUGACCAACCAAAUGACUUUGACUCAGUCUUCUGGUUGAUCAUUAUCAUGUAAGAAAACUCAG